Neltuma alba is the source of this 123-nucleotide long non-coding RNA. RefSeq lists it as uncharacterized. NCBI's taxonomy places the organism in Eukaryota, Viridiplantae, Streptophyta, Magnoliopsida, Fabales, Fabaceae. The transcript is spliced from 3 exons. The record is from RefSeq and is a predicted model, not a curated record.
UUUAUUAAAAAAAAAAUGGAAGUAUGAGAUAGAAAUAUAGUAACGUAGCAUCAAAAGAAAAUUUUGUAUUAUAAUAGGAUAUUGAUUUUGUUAUUGAGAAUAUUCAAUUUUGGUUCAUAUUUA